Molecule: transfer RNA, 72 nt
Filed under: Camelus bactrianus (Bactrian camel)
Lineage: Eukaryota; Metazoa; Chordata; Mammalia; Artiodactyla; Camelidae
Also listed under: 2 other names
Rfam family: tRNA
About the family: Transfer RNA (tRNA) molecules are approximately 80 nucleotides in length.
Source: Rfam by way of RNAcentral
GGGGGUAUAGCUCAGUGGUGGAGCUCCUGCUUAGCAUGCACAAGGUCCUGGGUUCAAUCCCAAGUACCUUCA